This 454-nucleotide ribosomal RNA is filed under the name Bacillus sp. R-31214. RNAcentral describes it as "bacterial SSU rRNA". It matches the Rfam family "Bacterial small subunit ribosomal RNA", at positions 33 to 479 of the family's 1533-position model. Lineage: Bacteria; Bacillati; Bacillota; Bacilli; Caryophanales; Bacillaceae. The record is from RNAcentral.
ACGCUGGCGGCGUGCCUAAUACAUGCAAGUCGAGCGGACAGAUGGGAGCUUGCUCCCUGAUGUUAGCGGCGGACGGGUGAGUAACACGUGGGUAACCUGCCUGUAAGACUGGGAUAACUCCGGGAAACCGGGGCUAAUACCGGAUGGUUGUCUGAACCGCAUGGUUCAGACAUAAAAGGUGGCUUCGGCUACCACUUACAGAUGGACCCGCGGCGCAUUAGCUAGUUGGUGAGGUAACGGCUCACCAAGGCGACGAUGCGUAGCCGACCUGAGAGGGUGAUCGGCCACACUGGGACUGAGACACGGCCCAGACUCCUACGGGAGGCAGCAGUAGGGAAUCUUCCGCAAUGGACGAAAGUCUGACGGAGCAACGCCGCGUGAGUGAUGAAGGUUUUCGGAUCGUAAAGCUCUGUUGUUAGGGAAGAASAAGUGCCGUUCAAAUAGGGCUGGCACC